This 251-nucleotide ribosomal RNA is filed under the name uncultured bacterium. Its description in RNAcentral is "partial 16S ribosomal RNA". It matches the Rfam family "Bacterial small subunit ribosomal RNA", at positions 524 to 774 of the family's 1533-position model. The record is from RNAcentral.
UACAUAGGGAGCAAGCGUUAUCCGGAAUUAUUGGGUGUAAAGGGUGCGUAGACGGGAAAUUAAGUUAGUUGUGAAAUCCCUUGGCUUAACUGAGGAACUGCAACUAAAACUGAUUUUCUUGAGUACUGGAGAGGAAAGUGGAAUUCCUAGUGUAGCGGUGAAAUGCGUAGAUAUUAGGAGGAACACCAGUGGCGAAGGCGACUUUCUGGACAGUAACUGACGUUGAGGCACGAAAGUGUGGGGAGCAAACA